ACCUGGGUGGCUCAGUUGGUUGAGCAUCUGACUUUGGCUCAGGUCAUGAUCUCACAGCUUGUGGGUUCGGGCCCCGUUCUGGGCU
RNAcentral lists this transfer RNA (85 nucleotides) under Felis catus (domestic cat). It matches the Rfam family "tRNA". From Rfam's summary of the family: Transfer RNA (tRNA) molecules are approximately 80 nucleotides in length. Their secondary structure includes four short double-helical elements and three loops (D, anti-codon, and T loops). Further hydrogen bonds mediate the characteristic L-shaped molecular structure. tRNAs have two regions of fundamental functional importance: the anti-codon, which is responsible for specific mRNA codon recognition, and the 3' end, to which the tRNAs corresponding amino acid is attached (by aminoacyl-tRNA synthetases). tRNAs cope with the degeneracy of the genetic code in two manners: having more than one tRNA (with a specific anti-codon) for a particular amino acid; and 'wobble' base-pairing, i.e. permitting non-standard base-pairing at the 3rd anti-codon position. RNAcentral also lists the same sequence under 1 other name. Lineage: Eukaryota; Metazoa; Chordata; Mammalia; Carnivora; Felidae. The record is from Rfam by way of RNAcentral.